Molecule: ribosomal RNA, 546 nt
Filed under: uncultured bacterium
Lineage: Bacteria
Description: bacterial SSU rRNA
Rfam family: Bacterial small subunit ribosomal RNA
Source: RNAcentral
UGGGGAAUAUUGCGCAAUGGGGGCAACCCUGACGCAGCCAUGCCGCGUGAAUGAAGAAGGCCUUCGGGUUGUAAAGUUCUUUCGGUAGCGAGGAAGGCAUUUAGUUUAAUAGACUAGGUGAUUGACGUUAACUACAGAAGAAGCACCGGCUAACUCCGUGCCAGCAGCCGCGGUAAUACGGAGGGUGCGAGCGUUAAUCGGAAUAACUGGGCGUAAAGGGCACGCAGGCGGUGACUUAAGUGAGGUGUGAAAGCCCCGGGCUUAACCUGGGAAUUGCAUUUCAUACUGGGUCGCUAGAGUACUUUAGGGAGGGGUAGAAUUCCACGUGUAGCGGUGAAAUGCGUAGAGAUGUGGAGGAAUACCGAAGGCGAAGGCAGCCCCUUGGGAAUGUACUGACGCUCAUGUGCGAAAGCGUGGGGAGCAAACAGGAUUAGAUACCCUGGUAGUCCACGCUGUAAACGAUGUCGAUUUGGGGGUUGAACUUUAAGUUUGGCGCCCGUAGCUNACGUGAUAAAUCGACCGCCUGGGGAGUACGGCCGCAAGGUU